RNAcentral lists this ribosomal RNA (301 nucleotides) under uncultured bacterium. RNAcentral describes it as "partial 16S ribosomal RNA". It matches the Rfam family "Bacterial small subunit ribosomal RNA", at positions 509 to 809 of the family's 1533-position model. The record is from RNAcentral.
CAGUCGCCACGGUAACACGUAGGGUGCAAGCGUUAUCCGGAAUUAUUGGGCGUAAAGAGCUCGUAGGCGGUUUGUCGCGUCUGCUGUGAAAACUGGAGGCUCAACCUCCAGCCUGCAGUGGGUACGGGCAGACUAGAGUGCGGUAGGGGAGAUUGGAAUUCCUGGUGUAGCGGUGGAAUGCGCAGAUAUCAGGAGGAACACCGAUGGCGAAGGCAGAUCUCUGGGCCGUAACUGACGCUGAGGAGCGAAAGCAUGGGGAGCGAACAGGAUUAGAUACCCGCGUAGUCCCUGUCUCUUAUAU